Molecule: long non-coding RNA, 923 nt
Organism: Aethalodelphis obliquidens (Pacific white-sided dolphin)
Lineage: Eukaryota; Metazoa; Chordata; Mammalia; Artiodactyla; Delphinidae
Exons: 3
Source: RefSeq, a predicted model, not a curated record
AUCAGAUGAACCAGUAUGGGGCUGCUAGCCUUACUUGAGAGAGGCGGCAGACGGAAGAGGCUGCACGGCUGCCUCUGGGAAUUGCCUGGGCUCCAGGGAGGGAGGGUGGAGCUGCGUCCUCCAAACCAGCAGAGUAAUCGGCAGACAAUGAGCCACUUGUGGGUGGGGGGGUGGCAGAGGCUGGAGUCUGGGAGUCGGAGCAUCAAAGGGGCAGACAAGCUCGCCCGGGCAUAUGCAAAAAACUGCCCCUUCCCAGGCAGGACUUGGGCUUAAGAAGGAGCCAGAAACCAGAGGCAGCCAUGUGGCCACAAAAAAAAAAAAAGCAGCAUUUGUUUCCUAUGGAGGUGAGCAUACGGAUAUUCAGACAGUGAGAGGCCUGGAUACUCACUCCCGCUUACUCUAUCCACACAAGACCCUCUGAAGUGGCAGCAGAAGCUUGGUGGUCCCCUUUCCCAGCAGGGAAGCCUGGUACGGGCCUUGCCUGAGGCUGCACAGGGCCUGGGAGACGGUAGAUGCUCAAAGGAUGCUGAAAUGAGUGAGAGAUGCGCUAUCCCGGGGCAAGCUGGGGGCUCUACAGAGAGAGCGUGAACCCCGAGGGCCACGACGGGAUUCGAGGGGUUCACCUCUGCAACCCUGGCACCCAGCACAGGCUAUGCAGCCAACACACAACUAACAGAUGGAAUUACAGCUACAUGACCCAAUGUGCAGAAGACAGGAGAGAUGGACAGACACCGGGCACGCUGCAUCUGAGACCCAGUCGAUCAGGGUAAUACCCUGGGCACCCUGUGGCUUUUAAACCUGCCAGCAGCUCCCCACUCCUCAGGGGUGGGGACCCGGCCCCGAGACCAUCAGCCCUGAAUGGAAUCCUAUCCCCAUGUGUCCAGGCUGGGGCUGUCAUCAAAUAAAAUCUACAACCAAGUCAA